This 492-nucleotide ribosomal RNA is filed under the name uncultured bacterium. Its description in RNAcentral is "partial 16S ribosomal RNA". It matches the Rfam family "Bacterial small subunit ribosomal RNA", at positions 29 to 507 of the family's 1533-position model. The record is from RNAcentral.
AGUGAACGCUGGCGGUAGGCCUAACACAUGCAAGUCGAACGGCAGCACAGUAAGAGCUUGCUCUUACGGGUGGCGAGUGGCGGACGGGUGAGGAAUACAUCGGAAUCUACUUUUUCGUGGGGGAUAACGUAGGGAAACUUACGCUAAUACCGCAUACGACCUACGGGUGAAAGCAGGGGAUCUUCGGACCUUGCGCGAUUGAAUGAGCCGAUGUCGGUUUAGCUAGUUGGCGGGGUAAAGGCCCACCAAGGCGACGAUCCGUAGCUGGUCUGAGAGGAUGAUCAGCCACACUGGAAGUGGAACACGGUCAAGAGGCCUGAGGGAGGCAGCAGUGGGGAAUAGUGGACAGUGGGCGCGAGCAUGAUCCAGCCAUACCGCGUGGGUGAAGAAGGCCUUCGGGUUGUAAAGACCUUUUGUUGGGAAAGAAAAGCAGCAGGUUAAUACCCAGCUGUUCUGACGGUACCCAAAGAAUAAGCACCGGCUAACUUCGUG